RNAcentral lists this ribosomal RNA (429 nucleotides) under bacterium. RNAcentral's name for it is "partial 16S ribosomal RNA". It matches the Rfam family "Bacterial small subunit ribosomal RNA", at positions 355 to 776 of the family's 1533-position model. The record is from RNAcentral.
UAGGGAAUCUUCCACAAUGGACGCAAGUCUGAUGGAGCAACGCCGCGUGAGUGAAGAAGGUUUUCGGAUCGUAAAGCUCUGUUGUUGGUGAAGAAGGAUAGAGGCAGUAACUGGUCUUUAUUUGACGGUAAUCAACCAGAAAGUCACGGCUAAAUACGUGCUAGCAGCCGCGGUAAUACGUAGGUGGCAAGCGUUGUUCGGAUUUAUUGGGCGUAAAGCGAGCGCAGGCGGAAUGAUAAGUCUGAUGUGAAAGCCAACGGCUCAACCGUGGAACUGCAUCGGAAACUGUCAUUCUUGAGUGAAGAAGAGGAUAGUGGAAUUCCAUGUGUAGCGGUGGAAUGCGUAGAUAUAUGGAAGAACACCAGUGGCGAAGGCGGCUCUCUUGUCUGCAACUGACGCUGAGGCUCGAAAGCAUGGGUAGCGAACAGG